CUGCUCGCUUCAGCAGCACAUAUACUAAAAUUGCAACAAUACAGAGAAGAUUAGCAUGGCCCCUACGCAAGGAUGACACGCAAGCUUGCGAAGCAUUCCAUAUUUUU
This is a small nuclear RNA of Ochotona princeps (American pika), 107 nucleotides long. Lineage: Eukaryota; Metazoa; Chordata; Mammalia; Lagomorpha; Ochotonidae. The record is from Ensembl.